CGAUGCGUCCACGAUAAUUGAG
This 22-nucleotide non-coding RNA is filed under the name Arabidopsis thaliana (thale cress). The record is from RNAcentral. Lineage: Eukaryota; Viridiplantae; Streptophyta; Magnoliopsida; Brassicales; Brassicaceae.